UUACCCUGUCGAACCGAGCGAGUGAGAAAUUUACCCACCCCUCAGUUUGCAGGGUACAA
Molecule: microRNA precursor, 59 nt
Filed under: Capitella teleta
Lineage: Eukaryota; Metazoa; Annelida; Polychaeta; Capitellidae
Description: Cte-Mir-10-P5_pre stem-loop
Source: RNAcentral